Molecule: small nuclear RNA, 107 nt
Organism: Loxodonta africana (African savanna elephant)
Lineage: Eukaryota; Metazoa; Chordata; Mammalia; Proboscidea; Elephantidae
Source: Ensembl
GUGCUCGCUUCGGCAGCACGUACACUAAAAUUGGAAUGAUACAGAGAAGAUCAGCAUGGCCCCUGCACAAGGAUGACACGCAAAUUCAUGAAGCACUCCAUAUUUUU